CACGGGGGGAGCAAGCGUUGUUCGGAAUCACUGGGCGUAAAGGGCGUGUAGGCGGUCAGGUAAGUGGGAUGUGAAAGCCCUCGGCUCACCCGAGGAUCUGCAUCUCAAACUGCCUGGCUUGAGUAUGGGAGAGGAUGAGGGAAUUCCUGGUGUAGCGGUGAAAUGCGUAGAUAUCGGGAGGAACACCAGUGGCGAAGGCGACUACCUGGCCUGUUCUUGACGCUGAGGCGCGAAAGCUGGGGGAGCAAACGGG
RNAcentral lists this ribosomal RNA (253 nucleotides) under uncultured bacterium. RNAcentral describes it as "partial 16S ribosomal RNA". It matches the Rfam family "Bacterial small subunit ribosomal RNA", at positions 524 to 776 of the family's 1533-position model. The record is from RNAcentral.